RNAcentral lists this unclassified non-coding RNA (398 nucleotides) under fungal sp. RNAcentral describes it as "partial internal transcribed spacer region". The stretch from base 1 to 46 matches the Rfam family "Eukaryotic small subunit ribosomal RNA", at positions 1786 to 1831 of the family's 1831-position model. Lineage: Eukaryota; Fungi. The record is from RNAcentral.
AAGUCGUAACAAGGUUUCCGUAGGUGAACCUGCGGAAGGAUCAUUAACACGUAUCCAAACGUUAAACCCCCCCGUGAACCUUCAGUGUACUCGUACGUCCGUUAGAAAAAGCAGCAAUCCCUGGUAAAUCAUCGCCGAACAGUUUUCGAUUCAGGGACGUCUGCAAGGAGCGUGCAUGUUGUGCGAAGCAAGUGGCCUGGCAUCCCCAAGCAGUUAGUGUCUGAAAGUGUCAUUAACUGUGUAAGGAUGACGCAGUCACGAUCGUUGGAGGCCCACACGGCCGACGACCGGGUCACUGGGCGCAAGCCCCCCUAUAACAAACGCUGCCAAUCGCGGCCGCGAUAAUACGCAGUCGACAAAAAACCGAACAACUGUUAACAAUGGAUAUCUUGGUUCUC